AUAAAAAGCGUCACUUUACAUGUGCUAAACUGGGAACGAUGCAGACAAGAUUAGCAUGGCAUCUGGCAAAAGGAUUACAUUCACAAUGGUGAAGCAUCACUUUUCAUU
Molecule: small nuclear RNA, 108 nt
Organism: Sander lucioperca (pikeperch)
Lineage: Eukaryota; Metazoa; Chordata; Actinopteri; Perciformes; Percidae
Source: Ensembl